Molecule: long non-coding RNA, 1362 nt
Organism: Balaenoptera musculus (blue whale)
Lineage: Eukaryota; Metazoa; Chordata; Mammalia; Artiodactyla; Balaenopteridae
Exons: 4
Source: RefSeq, a predicted model, not a curated record
CCAAGACCUGGCAGCCUCAGGGUUGUUGUGACCUAUGGUAAUUCAUUCAGCGGGCUGCUGUGUAUGAAUACUGUGUGCACAGUGAGCCGAGUAGGCAAGGUCCUGGCUAUUGUGCAGCUUAAUGUCAGUUAUGAAAAAAGCCACUGCUGUGUAAAAGAAAUUUGAGGGACAUAGAAUCUGGAUUGAAUCCUGAUUUGAACAGACCAGCUAUGAAAUGCAUUUUCAGGGCAAUUGAAGAAAUUUGAACAUAGAUGGACUGAAUAUGAGAUGAAAAUGUAUUGCCAUGGAAAAGUGGAGAUCAUUAACUGAAAAGAGCAAGUCACAAAACAGACUCUUGGAGAAAUGAUGGCGUGUGACUUCUGAGAUGAGGCCAUAAAAGACAUUGUCACUUUCUCCGUGGUCUUGGAUCUCUGACUUUGGAAAAAGUCUGCUGCCAUGUCAUGAAGACAAUCAAGCAGCCCUAUGGAGAAAUUAAUGCGGUGAGGAGCUGAGGCUCCUGACCACAACUAUGGGCAUGAGCCACCUCGAAGGGAGAUCCUCCAACCCUGUCAAGCCUUCAGAUGACAGCAGCCCUGGCUGACGUCUUAAAUGCAGCUUCCUGAAAGAGCCUGAGCAAAGACAGCCAGCUAAGCUGCUCUCAAAUUCCUGGCCACCAGAAUCUGUGAGAUAUGAAUAUAUAUUGUUGUUUUCAGCCAUUAAGUUGAGAUGCUAACAGAAGACCCAAGACUUCUGGAUCAGAGAGAAAGGCCUUUUCUACUCAUGGCAAAAUACGCAGUGUAAGCUUCAUGUGUGCAACGGUUCCCCUUUGCCUCCCAAAUUUCCUGGGGUUGUGUUACAGGAGAGAAACAGAAGCUGGAGAAUCAUCCAUUUUAGAGCAAGCACUAAGUAAACCUGUUUUUUGUCUUGGAGGGAGACAUUAUUUCAUCCCUCAAGGUUGCUCACUGAAAACAUACCAGGUAAAGAGAGGCCACGAGACAAGCUGGUACCUGGGACCUGGGACCUGGGACCCCUUACUGCAGUGCUUGCACCUGGACAAAUGUCUCCUUGAGCAACAAAAUAAAGAGAAACUGUGAGGGACUAAAAAUAACUGUGCCCAUGUGCAACUGGGGCAAAUUACAGACAAUAAGAUACAAAAAGACCAAAAAACCCAACUGCUACUUCUGAAGAGCCAGGAGCAAAAACAGUGUGUCGGGAGAGAAAGCAGGGUACUGCACAUGCCCCCUGCACACAACACCACCAAAGGGGUGGGCAGACCACCUAAGCCAACCCUCCAGCCCAACCCAUGACAUACCCCUACCCUCACCCCAUAUAAGGAACCUGCUUGCCCCCCUGGGGGAGUGAGCAAGGGCACCUGUUACUUGU